RNAcentral lists this unclassified non-coding RNA (237 nucleotides) under uncultured fungus. RNAcentral's name for it is "sequence contains ITS2". The stretch from base 1 to 52 matches the Rfam family "5.8S ribosomal RNA", at positions 103 to 154 of the family's 154-position model. Lineage: Eukaryota; Fungi. The record is from RNAcentral.
AACGCACAUUGCGCCCCUUGGUAUUCCGAGGGGCAUGCCUGUUCGAGCGUCAUUAUGACCACUCAAGCCUAGCUUGGUAUUGGGGUUCGCGGUCUCGCGGCCUCUAAAAUCAGUGGCGGUGCCGUCUGGCCCUAAGCGUAGUAAUUUUCUCGCUAUGGGGUCCGGACAGUUGCUUGCCUAAACCUCUAACUUCUCACGGUUGACCUCGGAUCAGGUAGGGAUACCCGCUGAACUUAA